GAGGGUAUAACUCAACUGGUAGAGUGCAUGCCUAGCAUGUGCAAGGUGCUGGGUUCAAUUCCCAGUGCUGCCU
Molecule: transfer RNA, 73 nt
Organism: Camelus ferus (Wild Bactrian camel)
Lineage: Eukaryota; Metazoa; Chordata; Mammalia; Artiodactyla; Camelidae
Rfam family: tRNA
About the family: Transfer RNA (tRNA) molecules are approximately 80 nucleotides in length.
Source: Rfam